RNAcentral lists this ribosomal RNA (466 nucleotides) under uncultured bacterium. RNAcentral's name for it is "partial 16S ribosomal RNA". It matches the Rfam family "Bacterial small subunit ribosomal RNA", at positions 28 to 507 of the family's 1533-position model. The record is from RNAcentral.
GAUGAACGCUGGCGGCGUGCUUAACACAUGCAAGUCGAACGGAAAGGCCCAAGCUUGCUUGGGUGCUCGAGUGGCGAACGGGUGAGUAACACGUGGGUGAUCUGCCCUGCACUUCGGGAUAAGCCUGGGAAACUGGGUCUAAUACCGGAUAGGACCACAUUUUGGAUGGUGUGGUGGAAAGUUUUGGGGUGUGGGAUGAGCUCGCGGCCUAUCAGCUUGUUGGUGGGGUAAUGGCCUACCAAGGCGUCGACGGGUAGUCGGCCUGAGAGGGUGUACGGCCACCUUGGCACUGAGGUACGGCCCAGACUCCUACGGGAGGCAGCAGUGGGGAAUAUUGCACAAUGGGCGCAAGCCGGAUGCAGCGACGCCGCGUGGGGGAUGACGGCCUUCGGGUUGUAAACGCCUUUCGCUAGGGACGAAGCGUUAUGUGACGGUACCUGGAGAAGAAGCACCGGCUAACUACGUG